AACGAACGUUGGCGGCAGGCCUAAAACAUGCAAGUCGAACGCCCUAGCAAUAGGGAGUGGCGCACGGGUGAGUAACGCGUGGGAACGUGCCCUUCAGUACGGAACAACGUCGGGAAACUGACGCUAAUACCGUAUCAUAUCUCCGGAACAAAGCUUUAUCGCUGAGGGAUGGGCCCGCGUCGGGUGAGCUAGUUGGUGGGGUAAUGGCUCACCAAGGCUACGAUCAGUAGCUGGUCUGAGAGGAUGAUCAGCCACACUGGGACUGAGACACGGCCCAGACUCCUACGGGAGGCAGCAGUUAGGAAUAUUGGACAAUGGGCGAAAGCCUGAUCCAGCCAUGCCGCGUGAGUGAUGAAGGCCUUAGGGUUGUAAAGCACUUUCGUUGGGGAUGAUAAUGACCGUACCCAAAGAAGAAGCCACGGCUAAAUUCGUGCCAGCAGCCGCCGUAA
Molecule: ribosomal RNA, 449 nt
Filed under: uncultured bacterium
Lineage: Bacteria
Description: partial 16S ribosomal RNA
Rfam family: Bacterial small subunit ribosomal RNA
Source: RNAcentral